UCUUCCGCAAUGGACGAAAGUCUGACGGAGCAACGCCGCGUGAGUGAUGAAGGUUUUCGGAUCGUAAAACUCCGUUGUUAGGGAAGAACGAGUACCGCUCGAAUAGGGCGGCACCCUGACGGUACCUAACCAGAAAGCCACGGCUAACUACGUGCCAGCAGACGCGGUAAUACGUAGGUGGCAAGCGUUGUCCGGAAUUAUUGGGCGUAAAGGGCGCGCAGGCGGGUUCUUAAGUCUGAUGUGAAAGCCCCCGGCUCAACCGGGGAGGGUCAUUGGAAACGGGGGAACUUGAGUGCAGAAGAGGAGAGUGGAAUUCCACGUGUAGCGGUGAAAUGCGUAGAGAUGUGGAGGAACACCAGUGGCGAAGGCGACUCUCUGGUCUGUAACUGACGCUGAGGCGCGAAAGCGUGGGGAGCGAACAG
This 422-nucleotide ribosomal RNA is filed under the name uncultured bacterium. RNAcentral's name for it is "bacterial SSU rRNA". It matches the Rfam family "Bacterial small subunit ribosomal RNA", at positions 362 to 775 of the family's 1533-position model. The record is from RNAcentral.